UACGGAGGGGGCUAGCGUUGUUCGGAAUUACUGGGCGUAAAGCGCGCGUAGGCGGCUUUGUAAGUUAGAGGUGAAAGCCCGGAGCUCAACUCCGGAAUUGCCUUUAAGACUGCAUCGCUAGAAUCAUGGAGAGGUGAGUGGAAUUCCGAGUGUAGAGGUGAAAUUCGUAGAUAUUCGGAAGAACACCAGUGGCGAAGGCGACUCACUGGACAUGUAUUGACGCUGAGGUGCGAAAGCGUGGGGAGCGAUCCGG
This 253-nucleotide ribosomal RNA is filed under the name uncultured bacterium. RNAcentral's name for it is "partial 16S ribosomal RNA". It matches the Rfam family "Bacterial small subunit ribosomal RNA", at positions 524 to 776 of the family's 1533-position model. The record is from RNAcentral.